UUGACAUGCAUGGAGACUGAAGUCUUCUGUUUACCCGUAGAAUAAGCACAGCCUGGGAAGCAGUAAUGCAAAACUCCCUUCCCUUCAGCCUGUGCUGCCCAGCCAGCAUUUCCCAUCUCUGACCUGAGGAAACAAGGUGAAAGAAUAGCUAGGUCUCCAUGCCCACUGGAUCCUCAUCUUCU
Molecule: small RNA, 182 nt
Filed under: Crocodylus porosus (Australian saltwater crocodile)
Lineage: Eukaryota; Metazoa; Chordata; Crocodylia; Crocodylidae
Description: TUC338 (ENSCPRG00005011018.1)
Source: RNAcentral